AGUUACUGCUAUCGGUGUUCGCCUAAGCCAUGCGAGUCAUAUGUUCUUCGUGAACAUGGCGUACUGCUCAGUGACACGUGGAUAACCUGCCCUUGGGACCGGCAUAACCCCGGGAAACUGGGGAUAAUUCCGGAUACCGCAUAUAUGCUGGAAUGCUUUAUGCGUAAAAUGGAUUCGUCUGCCCAAGGAUGGGUCUGCGGCCUAUCAGGUAGUAGUGGGUGUAAUGUACCUACUAGCCAACGACGGGUACGGGUUGUGAGAGCAAGAGCCCGGAGAUGGAUUCUGAGACAUGAAUCCAGGCCCUACGGGGCGCAGCAGGCGCGAAAACUUUACAAUGCGGGAAACCGUGAUAAGGGGACACCGAGUGCCAGCAACAUUUGCUGGCUGUCCGGGUGUUUAGACUACACCCGUUAGCAAGGWCCGGGCAAGACCGGUGCCAGCCGCCGCGGUAACACCGGCGGCCCGAGUGGUGAUCGUGAUUAUUGGGUCUAAAGGGUCCGUAGCCGGUUUGGUCAGUCCUCCGGGAAAUCUGACGGCUUAACCGUUAGGCUUUCGGGGGAUACUNCCAGGCUUGGAACCGGGAGAGGUAAGAGGUACUNCAGGGGUAGGAGUGAAAUCUUGUAAUCCCUGUGGGACCACCUGUGGCGAAGGCGUCUUACCAGAACGGGUUCGACGGUGAGGGACGAAAGCUGGGGNCACGAACCGGAUUAGAUACCCGGGUAGUCCCACCCGUAAACGAUNCUCGCUAGGUGUCAGNCAUGGCGCGACCGUGUCUGGUNCCNCAGGGAANCCGUGAAGCGANCCNCCUGGGAAGUACGNCCNCAAGGCUGAAACUUAAAGGAAUUGNCGGGGGANCACAACAACGGGUGGANCCUNCGGUUU
RNAcentral lists this ribosomal RNA (882 nucleotides) under uncultured archaeon. Its description in RNAcentral is "bacterial SSU rRNA". It matches the Rfam family "Archaeal small subunit ribosomal RNA", at positions 21 to 903 of the family's 1478-position model. The record is from RNAcentral.